This is a long non-coding RNA of Herpailurus yagouaroundi (jaguarundi), 1070 nucleotides long. RefSeq lists it as uncharacterized. The record is from RefSeq and is a predicted model, not a curated record. Lineage: Eukaryota; Metazoa; Chordata; Mammalia; Carnivora; Felidae. The transcript is spliced from 2 exons.
UUUUAUAUUUUUAAUGACUCAAAUCCUCCAUAUCUCAAUUUCUCACCUAAAGCUGACCAUGUUUAAUCCAUCUCUGAUACUGUUUACUCCAUUUGUAUGUGUUUUUGCUUCUUAAUCAGCAUAAGAAGGGGAUUCCCACAGUAGAGCAUCUCAGUGUGAUGUUUGCAUAGUCAAUUGUUAGCAGAAACCUUUGUUCUACUUGAAUUGCUUUAUUUUUGUGAUGAUAAGAAUUUGGAAUCUUCACAGCCUUCUGGUCUUACCUGAAUCUUGAUAUGUUACUGGCCAAGAUCUGUUCUCCUAAAUCUUCUUCUUAAAAAAUUUUUUGCUACUAUAACACAAAGUUUCAAAGCAUUCGCUGGUAUUUGUAUCUUUACAAACCUUUUAACCAAGUGCAGUUUACAUACAUACUGGUGAAUUAUGCCCAUCAAAAUGUUCAUGACAAAGUAUCUUACUCAAAAUAUUUAAGGAAAAAUAGUAAGCUUACAAUGGAGAAUCCUGGCAGACAAGUAAUGUCUAAAAUGUUAGCUAAAUGAUCAAAGUCAACAUCACCAGUAAUAUAUAUUAACAUCACGUGAUGCAUUAAGAUUGCACAUCAAGGGCGCCUGGGUGGCUCAGUCAGUUAAGAGAGCACAUCACCUCUAUGGUAUCCUUUCUACUAAUGGGUACCCACAGCCUAAUAAUGGAAGAACACCAGACAAACCCAAAUUGGGGAACACUACACGAUAACUAACCAGGAGUCUUCUACAGUGUCAAGGUCAUAAAAGACUAGAAAAGUCUGAGGAACUGUCACUGAUCAGUGAAAAGUAAAGAGGCAUGGUAAUUAAAUAACGUGGGAUCUUGAAAUGGAAAAAGGAUAUCAGUUGAAAAACUGGUACAAUCUGAGUAAGUUCUAUAUUUGUACCAAUGUUAAUUUCUUAGUUUUGAUAAAUGUCUUUGGUUAUAUAAGAUGUUAAAAUAAGGGGAAGGUGGAUGUAGGGUAUUUGGGAACUCUACUAUUUUUUGCAACUCUUCUGUAAGUCUGAAAUAUCUCAAAAAAAAAAAAAAAAGCAAAGUUGUCAGAAUCUAAAGGA